RNAcentral lists this long non-coding RNA (497 nucleotides) under Olea europaea (common olive). RNAcentral's name for it is "long non-coding RNA (OEUR_LNC002417)". The record is from RNAcentral. Lineage: Eukaryota; Viridiplantae; Streptophyta; Magnoliopsida; Lamiales; Oleaceae.
CAAACCCAAGUGCAGGUUGUCGCAAGUAGUAAAUCUCGGAAGUCCGAGGUCGAACCACAGGGAAUUGGAAGGAAAUAAACUAUUCUAUGAGUAAUAAACGGUUGGUGAAAAUACGAUUGAGAUGAACACUAGAGCAUUGGGGAUUCACUUCAGAUAAAUGAGUAGAAAUUGCACUUGAUCUUUAAUUUAACUCAUAUGAAAAUCAACUAAGGAGUGAUCUCAUAUGGAAGAUAAAACAUUAACCACAAAUAUAUUGAAAGAUAGAUCUUGAUAAUUGUUUGAGAGAAUAUGUCAAAAUAAGUUGUUGGUAUGUAGAGAUUAUCUAAGCAUUUAUUGUGCCAAAAUUGUCAACAAUAAAUCAAAGUCUUUAACAAACCAAAACCAUUUGUAGAACACAAACUUCAACCAAGUAAGAAGAUGAACAUUGAAGAACAAAAUGAAAGAUCAAAGACAAUACUAAACAUUCAUCAAAGUUUCACCCCUAGCUCUAGCUAAAU